Molecule: transfer RNA, 82 nt
Filed under: Toxocara canis (dog roundworm)
Lineage: Eukaryota; Metazoa; Nematoda; Chromadorea; Rhabditida; Toxocaridae
Rfam family: tRNA
About the family: Transfer RNA (tRNA) molecules are approximately 80 nucleotides in length. Their secondary structure includes four short double-helical elements and three loops (D, anti-codon, and T loops). Further hydrogen bonds mediate the characteristic L-shaped molecular structure. tRNAs have two regions of fundamental functional importance: the anti-codon, which is responsible for specific mRNA codon recognition, and the 3' end, to which the tRNAs corresponding amino acid is attached (by aminoacyl-tRNA synthetases). tRNAs cope with the degeneracy of the genetic code in two manners: having more than one tRNA (with a specific anti-codon) for a particular amino acid; and 'wobble' base-pairing, i.e. permitting non-standard base-pairing at the 3rd anti-codon position.
Source: Rfam by way of RNAcentral
GGCGAGAUGGCCGAGUGGUCUAAGGCGCUGGUUUUAGGCACCAGUCUCUUCGGAGGGGUACGUUCGCAUCCUACUUUCGUCA